Sus scrofa (pig) is the source of this 9381-nucleotide non-coding RNA. The record is from RefSeq and is a predicted model, not a curated record. Lineage: Eukaryota; Metazoa; Chordata; Mammalia; Artiodactyla; Suidae.
UACAGUAGAAAUUGCCAGAACACUGCAAGUCAACUAUAAUGGAAGAAAUAAAAAUCUUAAAAAAAAAAAAAAGACCCUGUCAAUCUCUUCUUCACUUCAGGGCCCUUUAAUGUCCACCUUCUGGAAGUUUUAAGAUCACAAACUGCUGCUGUGUAGGCUCCUUAGAGUAGACUAGACAAGAGGUGAGCCUGGAGGUAUAUCAAGAGAGCACUGAAGUCCAGGCAAGAGAGUGUGGGCUUGGAUGACAGUAGUGGCAAUGCAGAUGGAGAUGAGAGAAUGUUCUUUCACCUGCUCUACCCGUAACUGAAUCCUACUUAUUUCUGAACCCCAGAAUACACAUUUCUUCUGUGCUCUUUCCUCACCCAUGAGCUGUAGCAGCACUCCACACUCUGUUUCUAAAAUAAUGCAUUGCUUAUUUCCUUAUUGGGACCCAACAACAUUUGUCACUGCUGGAUUUAUCAGUCUACUUUUUUUCACUAGAAUACAAGGUUCAAAAGGGGCAGUGAGUUUGUCUUCUGCAUUGUGUCUUACAGUGCUUAGCACAGGUGCUUUUCAUGUAAGAAGUUUGCGAUACAUAUUUAUGGAAAUAAAAUGAAGAGGUGUAGGGAGAGGUGACAGUGGUGGAGGGGAAAUUAAUUCAAAAGGCUAGAAUAAUUCCUGAGACACUGAAAUGGAAAUAACUUUAUUACUUUAAUGUUUUUUAUGGUUACCUAAGAGCCUCAUCUCGGAGAUUUCAAGACUUUGGUCAACCAUGAACUUAUGGGUCACUACUCUCACAUCCCCAAAUACCAGUGCUGUCUGUCUUCACUGAGGGUGCAGGUGCUCUCCUUCUGAGUCUAGAACUCACCAGUACUACUCUUUUAAUUUGAAAAAAUUGAAUAAGAUGCAUACAGAUAGCAAAAUAAAUAUGUGACAAUGAAUUGUCCCGGGCAAACACUUUUAGGUCAGUAACUAAACCAUUACAGCCACCACAGAAGCCCACUUAGAUCAGUCCCCUAUUCCAGCCACAGUUCCUGUCCUUUUUCCUACAGGUAAUUAAUAUCCCACGUUUCUAAACAGUUUUCAUCCAAAUGUGCAUCCAUUACAGUUUGGGACAUUUAAAAGGCUGGGAUAGGCCUUUUAAGUCUUUCAGUCUUAUAUCCUUUAAUCUGGAUGUUUCCCUGCCAUCUGUUUUCUUUUAUCUGUGGAAGAAUCUGGUCCGUUUGACCCACAUAGUUUUCCACAGUCUGGAUUUGCUGAUUGCAUAUUUAUGAAUAGUUCACCAAGUUCCUUCAAAUUGGUAGCUGGAUCUAGAGAUUGGCUUAAGACUCGGGCGUGAUUCCUUUGGUAAAUCUAUAGGAGGCAGAUAAACUCGUCUGGUCAUCUUUUUAUGAUGUAAGAAGUCAAUGAUGCUUAAGUGCCCACACCUAGUGAUUCAAUGGGGUUUGUCUGCAAAAUGGUCAUAUCCUAUUAUACCUUUUUAAUAGUUUGAAUACUUGUAUAAAGAUAAAAUUCCCCUCAUUGAUUACCCAGUGAUAAAGAUCAUAUUGUGAUUCUUUUAUUUACUGCUUUAAAAUUAGCUAUCUGUAAUUAAGAACUCAUGGAUUUUAACAUAUUUGAUGUAUCUCGAAGCCAUUACAAAUAUUACUUAUAUUCAAUUUUGAUCCAACUUUGGCCACUGAGUCUCAAGUGGGUUCAUUUUUUUCUGACAUGACUCUAUAAGUUGGUAAUUUCCUUGUUAUCCAUUAGAACAGUAUGUUCUAGAGUCGUCUUAAACAUUUCCUACCCAGACCAAGACUCAGCCAUUACUCCAGAAGCUUUUCUUAUUUUAGUGAAACAUUGUAUUUCGAAGCUGUAUCUGGAAUUAUCACUGGUAGUGGCUUUGUUAUCAUUUCUAAACCUGUUCAGUGGAUAGGAGCUGGUGGACGUUUGAAAGUCAUGAGAAGAGCUCAGAAUUGCUCUCUGUAUAUGGACUGUAAUAAAGUUUUUCAGCCCUUGCUGUCCUUAAAUUUCCAAGGAUCACUCUCUAUAGGAAAGGCCAUCAGUUUUGCCUUCUGAGCCCAAAUCUGGUCUUGGUGAUAGAUGUUCUAACGACCAAAAUUCUUCUAUUGCAGCUUUGGUUAAAAAGAGCAUCACUGAAGUUCCCCAGUUGCCUAGUGGUUAAGGAUUUGGGGUUGUCACUGCUGUGGCUCUGGUUUCACCCCUGGCCUGGCAACUUUCACGAUGCCAUGGGCGCAGCUUAAAACAAACAACAACAAAAAAACAAAACCCCCACAAACAACCAAAAAACAACCAUACACACACAAAUACCACUCCUUCACUUUCUGUUCUCAGUUGCCACAUGGUUGCCACAUAGGCACUCAUGUGGGAGCUGUGUGAUGAGGUCAUCCCGAUAUAUAACGGGCAUCCUCAGAGACUGUCACCUGGUUUUAUGCUACAAAACAUUACCUCCCACUGGCCCCUGUGCUCCUUUUCCUGCCACCCCUCAAAUGCUUUCCCAGCUGUUCUCCUGGACCCAUGUCAUGUUCUAAGAUUUCUUGGACUAUUGAAGCCUCCAUGUACUUCAGCUUUUGCAUCUGUGAAAUGGAUAAAAUGGUACCCACCUCAUUAAGUAUUGGGAUUUAAAUGAAUUGCUACCUAUAAUUAGGCUUAGAAAGUCCUCAAUACACAUCAGCUUUUAUUUUUAUUCUAGACCAAUAGUUCCCAAGCUGGCUCCACAUGAAGAACGUAUGAGGAGGCUUUUAAAAGAAAAUAGGGAUGCUUUGUCCAUGCCUCUAGGGAUUCUGACUUCAGCGGUCAGUCAGCAAUUGACGUUUUUCAAGUUCUCAAGGUGAAUCUGGAAGAGGAGGUGGUGAUUCUCCCUGGCAAACUGCCACCCCUGUUAUUCCCUUCCAGGUCAAUGUGAGGUGAGAUACUCCUGUGACAUUUUGAUAAGUUCUUGCUGACUCCACAUCAAGCUGGGUUCUGUUACUUAAAACCAAGGAGGAGGCCUAAUGAAUGCAGCAGGCAUUUGUAAGAAAUUGGGUAAAGUUUGAUCAUAGGCAACUCUGGAACUGAAGAGGCUUCCCUACCUUCAACACUCACUUUUUGGGGACCACAUGCAUUGAGGUAAUGAAGUAUGCCAAUGCUGUCCCCAUCUUAGACACCCAGCUCCAGCUACUGUAUUACUAUACACGAUGCAUUCUUAAUCACAGUAACUCAAAUUUAAGGGGAAAAAAUAUCACAAAAUGUUCCCCCAUCUUUGAAACCAACUACUGCAGCUGCUAACAGAAGCAUCUAUGUAGAUUGUGUUUGUCUUUCUGGAGAAGACCAAGAAUUAUUAAAAGAGCAGCCAGCUGCUUAUAGUAGGAGGAUGGGAAGAGUUUGUCAGCAUCCACACUGCUCUCCUUCCUUAGCUGAAUCCCUACCAUCUUCCUCUUUAUCCCUUUUUUGCUCUCACUGUUUUAGUUCAGGAAAGUAGGGGGCAUCCCCCUGCCCUUGUGCCUCUCCCUCUGGGAAGACAGAGCAACCCCACCCUUCAUCUGUGCUCAACCAAUGAGAGACUUUGAGCUAGGCUGAUAGUUGAUCGGCUCCUUGACUCAUGAAUUCAAGUCUCCCUUUCUUUCACGCCAUGUUCCAAUAGGGUUAUUUGCACAACAACUUUGCACAGUGGAGAUAAUGAGUCUACCUCAUGAGGAUGCUAUGAUGAUUCAAUGUGAGAGGACCAUGGGUUUCAAAACUGGCUGCACAUUGGUAUUGCUGGAAAAUUUCAAAACUCCCAGUACUGAGCAGCACCCAGAUUGUUCAAUCAGAAUUUCUGGUGGUGGGAACCAUCCAUUAGCAUUUGAAAAACUUCCCUGAUAAUUACGACCUGGGCCACACAUCAGAGCCAGUGAGAUAGCACUUGUUUAUAAGCACUCAGUAGAUGGUAACUGCUUUUAUUAUAAAAAUUGAGCAAGAAUUCCCCCAGGUUAACAGACUGCUGAAAUUGAAGGCUCAGUAGGACCCAGAUUCAUUUCUCCUUUAAUUCAUCCAUCUAAGAAUAACCUGCCAGGCUCUGUGCUUAAUUCCACCUUCCCACUUGAAAGGAAAAAGAUCAUGUGGUCUUAAAAUGAAAUUCACAUUCUCUAGGCCAACUUGGCCUCCCUCACCACCACGUGUGUUAUUGCCUGACAGUGCCAUCGCUCACAGGCUGGUCAGCUCCAGCUGCCCUCAGGUACAUUAACCUCCCUCAUGCUGUGCCUCUCUGCGUACUCUUCCUCUUGCUUAGGAUGCCAACCCCCAUGCUUCUUGCCUUUUCUCUUGGCCUUUCUCGUAGGGUGGAAUUCCCAGUACAGAAUCUGAAGGACAGUUGGGUGGCCCCCACCCAUCCCCUCUGAUGGGCAAGCUGGUGGCUGUCCUCUCAUUUCCAGGGUUCUGUGAGUGCCCUGCAGGGCUGAAUGAUGAGGUCUUCUCUCUGUGGAAGGGCUGUACCAGUCUCUCCCUGCUCUCCUUCAGGCCUCACUCUGGCAAAAGACUGUGCAGGCCCAGGCAGGCUUGCUUUCCUAUAUUGCUUAACCAGUUCUGUUGCUCUAAGACCCUCAUGGAGCUGCUCCCCAGGACUCCUCUCAGAGGGAGAUUUUCCUCUGGAAUCACCUGAGGGAGCAGGGCAGCUCAGAGCCCCCCACUCGCAAGGGCCUGAGGCCUGCAGGCUGUACUAUCUGCAGCCACUACAUGAAAUCUCCUGAGGUUGGCAGUCUUAGGGGAGUAAUACGACUUUAUUAUCAUAUAUUGUCCCUGAAGACUGUUCCCCAAAGGGGAGAGUCUCUUGUGCGUCUACAGUAUAGGCACCUAAUAUAAUGAAAAGGGCAAGGGGCUAUGAGCUGUGAUAACCAAUUCUGCUGAAGUAAGGACUUCUGUUUGAGUUUUGUAACCCUUUCCCUGCCAUUUGUUGACCUCCAGCAUGGCCCUGCUUGGCAAGGUUCCUGGGCUUUCUCUCCAUUUCUGAAUCUGUCAGAAAGUGGUCCAAGGGCAUAGACUUGCUUGUCCUGUCACUGGGCCAAGAGAGCUCUUUCUAGAAGAGCUGACCAGGAAGACCUUCCUCAGUGUUUCAAGUCUGUACAUGUGUGCAUGCGUGUGCGUGUAUGCACAAACACACACACACAGUCUUGAUUUUGGCUCUUCUAGCCCAAGGCUGUGCCGCUAGGUAACAGCAUCAUCUUUCCAAACAGGUGUGGGGGAUCACUUCCCUCUGUUCAUCCUUCAAGAUUCAUAUACUACUGGGCACUGGGAAGGAGAAAUUCUAAACGUUAUCUCACUUAAACUUUGGCAAAAACCUUACGUAAUUGGUGUAGUUAUUAUCCCCAUUUUACAACAGAGGAAACAUUCUUCCAAAGGUCAUGUGCUUGGAAUAUGGUUAGCUUUUGUUAUGUUACAAACCAUUCCCAAAGUUAGUGGUUUAGAACCAUCGCAUCUAUUUAGCUCACAAGUCUAGAUUGUUUGGCUAUCAGUUAGAGUGUUGGGAUUAGGGCACAGCUCAUUGCAUGAUCUCUUUCAUCCUCCAGCAGGAUAGCUGGGGCUUGAUCACAUGGCAGACUGAUAGGAUUCUAAGAGGAAGAAUGCAGGCAAGGCCUACUUAGACAUGGAACUCUAUGGUCACUUUUGCUGUAAUCUACUGAACAAAGUGAGGCACGUGUCCUGCCUAAAUUCAAGGAAUGGUGGAAAAAACCCUGCUUAUUGGUGGGAGGAGCUGCAAGGUCAUACUGCAAAGGGUCAUGAACACGGGGAGGGGGGUGGGGUGGAGUCAUGUCUGUUUCUGCACUUUACUGCAGUUAACUGAUGGGUAGGAUUGUAAUUUUCAGUUAUGAAAAUAGCAUAUGCACAAGAGAAAAUUCUGAACAGUAAACAAAAGGGAAAAUGAGGAAAAGAGUCAUUCCUAGACUAGAGCUAGGAAAAUACUUUAUCGUCUAGUCCCACUCUCCACAUGUAAACACAGUUGAGCGUCUGCAUAUCUAGAUAAAAUUUUUUCCUGCAUAUAUGCAGAUGGUAGUCCAACAUACAUUUUCCUGCACUUUUCCUUUUUACUUAGUAAUGUACUUAGUUCCAUAGCAGCACCAACUAAAAAUGUGCUAUUCCUUCUAAGGCCUACAGAAUAAUCCAUUGAAUAAAUGUAACAUGUUUAUUUAACCACAUCUCCUACUGGUGGGACAGUCCUCCCACCCCUAGUUUGUGUUACAAAUAAUGCUGCAAAGGCUAUCCUUAAAUAUCCUUCUGUGUAUACUUGUAGACUAGAUUCCUGCAAGUGAAAUUUCUAGGUUUUACAUCAGAGUUGAGUCUUGACCUGUUCCCAAAGCACAUGAACUUUAUAAGAUGUGUGUCUCAUUACUAACUGUUCCUCUAGUUUUCUGUAACUAGAAGCUACCUUAGGAACCAUGGCCCCCUAUGCACCUAUGUGACGAUGCUCAUGACCUCUGCAUACCCUUCCUAAGCAGGUUCAAGAAGUCCUGAACUAUGCAUUAAGUUCUUCCAAGAAGAUCUGGAUGAGUUAUCUUUUCUAUGUUUUCCUUCAUGCUAUUUUUGAGAGACCUGUAUUACUUUGUUAUAGACAAAUGAUAAAACAAUCUUGGUAAGAAAUGUUAACAUACAAAUGAUAGGUUCCAUCCAAGUGAAAGUCUAACCUAUAAAUGAAGGUUUCACAAAUACUACAGACAGGUGGUAAAAGAAGCUGAAUCAUCACACAGUACCAUAAGCUUUGUCAUAUUGAACAGUUUGAGUCUAUGAAUUUCAUCCUUGUUAACGGCAACUUUAACAGUUCAUGAAUAUUGAGUAGUAUAAAUAUAUGCAAAGAUUUUUUUCAUUUUUAAUAUUGUUUUUGGGUUCCUUCAUAGAUUGAUGCCCACUCAUCACUUGCCUGGAUGUUAGCUGGAGUCCUGAAUUGUUACCAGAGAAGAAGAAUUGGAAGAGAGAAGUUUCUCUAUGGGCAGCUCAAGAACCUUCUCCGUCCCCCUGCAGAAACAGGAAGAAGAUACAGGAAAGAACCCUACUUAAUUGUUAGAAUAGGCCAGCAUCUUUAGAUUUAGCGUUACUUUAGAAAAAUAACAUUUUCCCUUCUUGGGAAACCCCCUUUUGCCUUAGGUGCCUGCAUGUUUCCAGAAGCCCCUGUUUUUCCGAAGACCUCCCCCCUCAACCGCCCAGCAGCCCUUUCUUUCCUGAGCGAGCGCAGGCGCACUCACUACUUCCUGCGCUCUGGAGUUUGCAUGCAUGGGCUUCAAUUUAUCUUCUUUCUGUGGAACAAGCAACACCUGGUCUAUCAUCAGUGGCUCCUGAUAAUUUUCUCUCCUGGGUCUCACAGAGGCUGACCUUCUCUCUGACCCUCCUAGAGGAUCACUCUGCAGUGGUGGCAGGAGGCGGUGCUGUUUGGGGCUCUCUCAUGCUUUAACCCAGCUCCUGCCCAUGACCCAGUGUGUUCAGUGAACUCCUCGUCCUCGAGGAAAGGAUACAAGGUGUGAUAACAUCUUAGAUCAGGCCUCGGACAACAUUCAUUUCAGAAAACAUUCCUCAUCCAGGAUGCUAAAAUCGCUCGGGGCAAUCCUGGAAGGCAUUUGUUGGGGGGAAGUUGGUCAGAGGUGGCCCAAGGGAAACAUGUUAGUAUUAGACUUAAGGGGACUGGAGCGGCAGUCGUCUGGCCUUGAGAGGUCAGAGAGCAUAUUGGUAACACCUGUGUCAGUCACACUCUUUAGGUAGGGGUGGGGGAGUCUGCGGGAGGGGAAGGGGGCUCACUGGUGUUGGGCUGCCCAGCCUCCCUAAUGACUGCCUUUUCCUCCUUAACUUUGCUUGUCUUGCCCCUUCCUACCUCAGGCACCCCUUCUUUCCUCUUCAUGCUGGUCAAAAUUUUCCUCCUUUCACACUAAGGUAUAUAUGACUACUAAUAAAUAGCAGAGGGAGGUGAUGUCUAAGAGUUUUCUCCCAGCUGCUCUUUCAAGAUAAUUGUUUACAGUUAUCAAGAGAUAGGAUCAAGAACCCUCACAUAUCCAUCACCCACCCUCAACAACCAUCAACUCAUUGCCAGUACCACCAAGUCUUUGGGAACAGAGCCUGGAACUCACUCUCCUUGGCAAGAGUAAGUGCUCAGGCCUUUAUCUGGCAUGUUGCAGCCGCUGACCACCCAGGGUUAAGUGCGUGAAUAAAUGUAAGGCACUCUCCCCGGUCAUUUGCAGAGACUUCCAGGCUGGACUCUUCCUAGAGGCAGUUACAAUUUCCACUGGGACCAGGGCCCUAGGCUAUGCAGGAUGCUCAAUCUUUUUUCCAAGCAACAUUGCUGUGGCUCAUGAAGAGCUUGCUAUGGCUCUCACCUGGUGGAGGAGAUGGUGUGUGUGUUGGAGAGGCUGGAGAGGAUAGCUGGCGGUGGGGCUGGGUUUUACAAGUGUGGUUUGAAAAAAACCCCAGCCCUUUAGGUGAAGCCUCUUCUUUGAGAAGGACUGAGCUGGAGAGAUAAGGCCCUAAAAUGAAAUUCUAGGCAAUAGUCUGGGGAUGGAGGGGGAAUUUGAGGAUGUUGGGGACAGGAUCUUCCCCUCACCUCCUAGACUCUUGUAAAGGAUGAUGGGAAUGAAUAGCAUUACUUUCCUUGUGGAAAACAUUUUUCUUCUCCUUUUCCCUUGAAGUCCAGUGCAACUGCUAUGGGAAUGGAUUAUGUGUGUGAGCAAGCUCCUGAGAGGAGACAGGAAAGCUGCAAUGUUUACAACCUUCCAUGACCUGAUUCCAUUUCAAGGACAUGGGUCAUUAGCGGCUGGCAGCAGACAGAGCUUGUAUGCAUAAUUUCCAAGAGCUUCGUUACCACACUUGGGCAUAACUUUAUUUUUUGUCUCUGAGGUGACUGUUAUUAUUUACUGGAAAUUCCAUUAAUAAAUCCCAGCAGCCAAAGCUUUUCUUUUUUUCCCUACACAAUUCUCAAUAAUUAGAAGAUGCUAUUACUUGCUAUCUGGCCAUAGCCUAACCAAUGACCUAACGUAAGACUUUUCUUAUCACAGUUCUCUAGUAUUCUGGCUUAUGAGCAGCAAACCUUCCACUCUGUGACUCUGCGCAUCAUGGUUUGCGAUCUAAAACACUUAUGGCCAUAGGUGAUACACCUCAGAUACUUUUUGGCUGUUGCAGCAAAGACUACUCACGAAACAAAAAACAAGGUCCUAAUACCCAGUUCUACAGCUUAGUAGUAUCACCCCAGGAAAGUAACACUGCUGAUUUAGUCCUCAUUUCCUCAUUUAUGGACUUGUCUAAAACAUAUUUGGUUUUCUCUUGCAGGCCACUGGGACUGAUAGGUAGUGGCUGCCUGGAGUGCUUGGCUGAAAAAAUACAAUGGGGAAUGGUUUUGUGAUUGAUUGUUGAUGUCUGUGGUGGGUGAGGGAGCUUGAAUGCCAUAAUUUCCCAGGUAUUGCUAAUUCUGGGUUG